CCCCUUCUUCCCCAGCGCCCAUGUCGGCCGGGGGUGACAGGGCUGGCCGCGCAGGCGGGUGACAGCGCGGGAGGAUGGAGCCGGUCCCGUCGCCUUCGUCUCUGCCCCUGGAAGCGGCGGAGCCGGGACGGACUGGGCCGGGGGGGGGGCGGACGGACACGCAGCAGCCUGGCCGGGGGCCGUGUGGGGCGGCUGUGGUGGCCAGGCCGGGUGGGGACGAGGGGCCGCGGGCCCUGACUAAACGUGUUGGUCGUGUCCGGGCUCUCCUUCUGUGCCGGCAGGUGAUGGGAGCAUGACUGAAAAUGAGGGGGAUCUCCAGCGAGAUGGGCCGGAGGCGGCCGAACCCCGCGGGGCCAUUUCGGACUUUUUCAUGAGGGAAGCUUCUUCUCCGGGCUGCGACCAGGAAUUGUCCCGUCCGAGGCCAGACCUUCUCCCCCCAGGGACGGGGCCGGAGAAGACCCCUCGCUGCGGCUUCCGGAAGCGUAAGGAGACUGUGGUGCACCAGCGAGCGUUCAUGGGAGAGAAGCCCUACAUCUGCAUCGAGUGCGGGCAGAGCUUCAACCGCAGCUCCGACCUGAUCCGCCACCAGAGGAUCCACACCGGGGAGAAGCCGUACAUGUGUGCUGACUGCGGCAAGAGCUUCAGCCGCCGCUCCCACCUCAUCCAGCACCAGCGCGUCCACACGGGUGAGCGGCCGUACCAAUGCAAGGACUGCGGGAAGAGCUUCAGCCAGAGCACCCACCUGGUGCAGCACCAGCGCAACCACACUGGCGAGAGGCCUUAUGUCUGUGCCAAGUGUGGGAGGAACUUCUACCAGAACUCGGGCCUGCUCCGCCACGCCAACUUUCACACGGGCGAGAAACCCUACAAGUGCCCCCAGUGCGGGAAGCGCUUCAGCGACAGCUCCAACCUCAUUGCCCACCAGCGGCUCCACACGGGCGAGAAGCCCUACAAGUGUGCUGACUGCAACAAGUGCUUCAGUGAGAGCUCUAAGCUGGUCAUCCACCGGCGCGUCCACACGGGCGAGAAGCCAUACUUGUGCCCUGACUGUGGGAAGAGUUUCAGCCAGCGCUCGCACCUUGUCCAGCACCGUCGCACCCACACUGGGGAGAAGCCCUACAAGUGUGCCGACUGCGGGACCUGCUUCAGCGACAACUCUACCCUCAUCCGUCAUCGUCGUACCCACACCGGGGAGAAACCUUUCAAGUGCUCACAUUGUGGGAAGAGCUUCAGUCGCAACUCCUACUUAGUCUCACACCAGCGGGUGCAUGUGUGGUAGGCAGCGUCGCUAGGUGUGACCUGGGGGUGAUCUAGGAUGCAGCUUCUGACCCAGGCCUGUCCAAAAUGUGCCUAAGGGACAAGGGGGUGGACAAGGGUGUGACUACACCAGAGCCCCUGGAUUAUAGGCAGCUGGCCAGAGUAAUUCCUUUGGCCCACGUUGCCCUUUUCAGUCACCUCCUCCGCCCAACGCAUCUCGGGCAUGGACAGAAAGCGAGCGGUGGUUGCGGUAGGUAGUUCUGCAGCCCUGGCAUCCUCUUUCCCAGGUACUAGAAUCGGAUGCCAUCUGCCGUGUGGCCGAGGUGCAGAUGUUUUCUCCCACCUCCCCGAGAGAGAUGUCUGCCGGGGAGCCUGAGGAGAGAACGCACGAGGUCAGGUCACAUGAUGAGAGGCUGCUUGGUCAUGCAACGUAUGCGCGUGUGGUCACGUCAGGGGAAGUAAGAUGGGAGAUGAGGUCCUUAAGGGCCUGUGUUCCACUUGCAGCUGAAACGUUGUGAAGGGCCUGUGUUCCACUUGAAGCUGAAAUGUUGUGACCGGUAUAAUAUUGCACAGGUCUGUGGAAGCUCACCAUGCUUGUGGUCUAAGCCAGCUUUGUGUCUCAUACAGCAGUCAGGAAGGUCAAAGCUAAGUAAGUCCUGCUGAGAAGCUGGAGACUCCACAUUAUGCCGCUACAGUGUGCGGGCCAACUUGAAGCACAGGCAAAGACCGCUUGAGUCUGCUUGUAAAAGGAACGUGUGGGCAUACGCUGAACCAGAGAAGGAAGGCAUGCCUGCAAAGGUUUUCUGUGAAUGCUGUGUGGAUGGUAGGAACGAGGGAGCUGCAGGAUAGGGGCACGGCCUGUUCUGGAAUCUCAGAACUGGUGGGUAACCGAUGUAGAAAACUAUCAUACCUGGAGGCUUAAAAUAAAAAAAAAAAACAGAAUCAGAAUUAUACUUGCUGCUGCUAAGACUGUGGUACGCAACUUGACAGGUGUAUGGAGGUUGCCUGUGAGUUUGUACUGGUAGCCUCCUCGCUCUGCAGAAUUCAGAUUCACAGAUACAGUUCAAGUGGGCUGGUGUAAGCUGUGUUGCAAAAUAGGACAGAACAACAGUGUACUAGGACUGACCCGAUUCCAUACCAGUAUUUCUCAAGUCCCAUUUUGACCAGUGUGUGCGCGCGCAGGUGUGUAAAUAACACCUAUAUGUGUGUACUCACAUAUGUAUGAACUAGCUUUUAUACUAAGUGUAUCUUCACACUCAGAUGUGAGCAAUCAUGUGUGCGCACACCAUGGCAGUAGUCAAAAUGGCCAGCUGUAUGACACUACACCAUAUCAGUACUUCUCAAAAUGUUAAACAUACUGUAUAUAGUAGCAUUUCGCAAUUAGAAGCUGGGAGAAAUAGGUUUUGUACUAAAACAUCUGAAUUUUCAUAUCAGGACAUUCAGUUUUACACUGAUUAUUUUGUGUAUGUGUGUGUGUGUGUGUGUAUAAGAUCUGGAAUUGAGUUGUUUUAUUUAUAUAUCUAUAAAAAUUUUGUGGGCCCUAUGGUUGCAAGGAAUGACUUCUAAAUGUCACUCAGCAUAGUACCCUCCCCCUCGUUUUACACAGGUACGUAUUGGUGGCAGUUGUAGGAUGUACCCCCCUCAUGGUUUUAACUACAAAGAAUUGCAGUGCAACACUUUACAUUGUUUAUAUUUUUGACUGUUUUGCUGCUGCUCAUUUUAGAGACGAUACUGACUGGUGUGCUUAUCCAGCACUGCUGGAACUUAGAAAAGACUCCUGGUUUUGCGAUGUACCUUACUAAUCCUGCAGCUGGCUCUGUGGCUUCAGUAGGUCUCUGGAAAAAGGAAUGCAGACUGAAGCUGGUAAAAGGACUGGAGCUAUGGUAGGGAAGAGAUGAAGGAAAUGAAGAUGCUAAGAAGAUCGAUGGAUUUGAGCAGCUGCUGGCCGGGGUUGCUUGUGAAUGGCUUGCUCUACAGAACUUGCUACUCUCCAAGGGAUUGCAGGGAUCCUUUCUGCAAGCCCCAAGCCACUUCUUGACACUCAACUGCUGAUAAAAUGUUAUUUUCAUAUAGUUUAAUAAAAAGGAGCUGUAGGGGGAGCAUGAAAUUGUUUGCAGCUCCUAGAGGAACAAGGCACCUUUAUGUGCAGCUGCUCAGGGAAGUAGAAGGAGCUUUCAGAAAUGGGGUGGGCUUUGUUUACACAGGAACCAAAGCCUUCAUCUGCAAAUGCACAUUUUUGCUUUUAGCUUUGUGUUUGUUUUGGGUUUUUUUAUGAACAGCUUCAAACCAAUGAUUUCUUGAUUUCUGUUCCACUUCUGGAAAGUGGUUUGGAAAUGUCACUAAUGGUCAUCUAAUUGGUUCCAGAAGCGUCAAGAUUUUCAUUUGCUAGCAGACUUUCAGAAGGGAUACUACAGCUCUCAGUCGGUAGGCUCAUUUUUAACUGACUUCAAAGGUUAUGCUGCAGUCCAGCUGUAGAACUGAUCAAUUUGUGUGGGUCUGUCCCAUUCCAGUUUAAGUUUCCUAAAGGAAAUCUACAGCACUAAAACUGUUUGCCUUUCCCUGGUAAACAGGGCUUCUCAGCCAUCUUGUGAAUGCAACUUUUCUUUUGGCAAUCUGAAUGGACUCGCUGUAGCGGAUCGAUAAAAUCGAACCCAGGUCUGUACAUGGCUGAGCUCAACUCACAGGGAAAUUCUCACAUCGAGAUUCUGGUUUGAGACGCCAGCUGCCCCUGAAUAUGCCUUCACAGCAGUCCUCAGAGCAUUUAUUUUCUUUUCUACAUGCUUUGUAAAGUGCUGUGUGUACUUAACAGCGCUCUAUAAAUUAAGAGGAUUGACGUGCAUUUAUUUCAAAGAUCUUUAUGAACUUAUUUUAAUACUGUAUGCCAAAUCAAAGUGGCCUUAGGGUUCACAGCACAUUGCCAGUGGAGUAGUCAGCGGCUAGGACUGGAUUGCUCACCAGUGUAAACACAUUUCUGGAGUUCCUUUCAACAGCCAGUUAGUUUUCCCUGUUCAGUGUCACUUGGCUGAAAUAAUUCCCUUCCCCUAGCCUGUCUGCCUUUUACGAUUUGUGAUCAUCUAGCUGGAGAGGAGAAUCUGGGCACCACCCUUCCUUUGCUGUUGCAGAAGUUACAGGGUAUGUUCCUCUUCUUCCAGGAAUUUAAUUGUUUUGUGGGCAGCACAAACUGGCGAACCAAAUUCAGAAGACUGAGGUAUGGGCAUGUGCAAAAAGUCAAGAACCAGAAGGUUUGCUUUCACAGCAGCUAGCUCACUGGCUUCUCUACCAGCUGUCUCCUCCCUCAGGAUCAUAGUGGGAGACUACUGGAAAAAGCAAAAGAGUGACCUCCUGAGCAUCACAGUUUCUUGGCCCCUGGCAGGACCAGAUUUGGAAAUACAUGUGUCAUCCUUCACAGAGGGAUGACUGUUACUUAGCACAGCUGCUGUGCAAUGCAAAUAAGAAUCCCGAGGUGCGGGGUAUUCUUAGAAUUGGUCUUCAUUUUCGUCUAACAUUUCUGCAUGAACCUGAAAAGCCAGAGGAUGGCACACAGUGCUCACGGUUCCUUUACGAGGGAAAGUGGCAGAACCUUAUUCUGCAGUGACACACCAUCCUGCUGGUAGAUGAACCUGGUUCUAGCAGAGCUGCAGCUGCUCUGAGGCAAUUAUCUUCCCAGUUCUGUCACCUGGGUUGCACGGGAUCUAGUUUUCCAGUCCCUUGCUGACAAAAGUAUAUGUAAUAGUGAUGACUGAAAUACAACUUCUUUUACAUUCCUCUCUGCUUCGCUGUUUAUGACCGGGAAAACAGAUUUCUUUUGAUCUUGGACAAGAGGUGCGUUUUACGUGUUUAAUAAAUUUUCAAAAGUA
RNA transcript from Harpia harpyja (harpy eagle), 5114 nucleotides. It is a transcript of the gene named zinc finger protein 239-like, with no coding region annotated. Lineage: Eukaryota; Metazoa; Chordata; Aves; Accipitriformes; Accipitridae. The transcript is spliced from 2 exons. The record is from RefSeq and is a predicted model, not a curated record.